RNAcentral lists this ribosomal RNA (462 nucleotides) under Enterobacteriaceae bacterium S16711. RNAcentral's name for it is "bacterial SSU rRNA". It matches the Rfam family "Bacterial small subunit ribosomal RNA", at positions 56 to 507 of the family's 1533-position model. The record is from RNAcentral. Lineage: Bacteria; Pseudomonadati; Pseudomonadota; Gammaproteobacteria; Enterobacterales; Enterobacteriaceae.
UGCAAGUCGAACGGUAACAGGAAGCAGCUUGCUGCUUCGCUGACGAGUGGCGGACGGGUGAGUAAUGUCUGGGAAACUGCCUGAUGGAGGGGGAUAACUACUGGAAACGGUGGCUAAUACCGCAUAACGUCGCAAGACCAAAGAGGGGGACCUUCGGGCCUCUUGCCAUCAGAUGUGCCCAGAUGGGAUUAGCUUGUUGGUGAGGUAACGGCUCACCAAGGCGACGAUCCCUAUCUGGUCUGAGAGGAUGACCAGCCACACUGGAACUGAGACACGGUCCAGACUCCUACGGGAGGCAGCAGUGGGGAAUAUUGCACAAUGGGCGCAAGCCUGAUGCAGCCAUGCCGCGUGUAUGAAGAAGGCCUUCGGGUUGUAAAGUACUUUCAGCGGGGAGGAAGGUGUUGUGGUUAAUAACCACAGCAAUUGACGUUACCCGCAAACAAGCACCCGGCUAACUCCGUG